Molecule: ribosomal RNA, 235 nt
Filed under: uncultured Staphylococcus sp.
Lineage: Bacteria; Bacillati; Bacillota; Bacilli; Caryophanales; Staphylococcaceae
Description: partial 16S ribosomal RNA
Rfam family: Bacterial small subunit ribosomal RNA
Source: RNAcentral
GGUGAGUAGCACGUGGAUAACCUACCUAUAAGACUGGGAUAACUUCGGGAAACCGGAGCUAAUACCGGAUAAUAUUUUGAACCGCAUGGUUCAAAAGUGAAAGACGGUCUUGCUGUCACUUAUAGAUGGAUCCGCGCUGCAUUAGCUAGUUGGUAAGGUAACGGCUUACCAAGGCAACGAUGCAUAGCCGACCUGAGAGGGUGAUCGGCCGCACUGGAACUGAGACACGGUCCAG